AGCAGUCGCCGCGGUAAUACCGAGGGUGCGAGCGUUAAUCGGAUUUACUGGGCGUAAAGCGUGCGUAGGCGGCUUCUUAAGUCGGAUGUGAAAUCCCUGAGCUUAACUUAGGAAUUGCAUUCGAUACUGGGAAGCUAGAGUAUGGGAGAGGAUGGUAGAAUUCCAGGUGUAGCGGUGAAAUGCGUAGAGAUCUGGAGGAAUACCGAUAACGAAGGCAGCCAUCUGGCCUAAUACUGACGCUGAGGUACGAAAGCAUGGGGAGCAAACAGGAUUAGAUACCCGCGUAGUCCCUGUCUCUUAUAC
Molecule: ribosomal RNA, 303 nt
Filed under: uncultured bacterium
Lineage: Bacteria
Description: partial 16S ribosomal RNA
Rfam family: Bacterial small subunit ribosomal RNA
Source: RNAcentral